GGUAGUAGUAGUAAUAGUAGUAGUGAUUAUAUGGAAUGUGGCGAAGUAUGGUCUAUGGUUACUAGAAUCAUCAUGAUCUUAAUAGUAUUAUCUUUACUAUUAUUAUUAUUAAUGUA
Molecule: microRNA precursor, 116 nt
Filed under: Schistosoma mansoni
Lineage: Eukaryota; Metazoa; Platyhelminthes; Trematoda; Strigeidida; Schistosomatidae
Description: microRNA sma-mir-1a precursor
Gene: sma-mir-1a
Source: miRBase by way of RNAcentral